Molecule: long non-coding RNA, 3899 nt
Organism: Macaca fascicularis (crab-eating macaque)
Lineage: Eukaryota; Metazoa; Chordata; Mammalia; Primates; Cercopithecidae
Source: Ensembl
GGGCGGUAGCGAUGAGGCUUCUUCACGCCACCCGUGGCUGGAGCGCUCUUGCGAGCUGCUUUAGUCGCCAGCUGCUUGCGCGGUGCUUUACCGCCUGUGGAUUUACGAGCGGUCUGCUUAGUACGCGCCAUACCUCACCUGCAAAGUAAGUGGGUUAGGAAAAUUGGUUUACCCCUCUAUUUAUAUAGGAACAGGAUCACUCUGAUUGGAUUGUGGACAAUCCCUGUUAGUGAUCGGUUGCUAAAUUCCGGAUGUGCUCGGAGCGAUUCACGAUUGGUUUAUUUUUUCAGUGCAAGAUUCUGAUUGGUAAAUUUGGAUAGAGCCCUGGCUCCUUUAAACAAGUUGUUUUUUUUUGUUACAGGUAUCUUUGAUGUUUUGCAUACAGCAUGACCUGCAAAGACAUUUAUCAUUUAACUUAAAUGACUGACCUUUUAUCCUGUUUAGCUAUAAAAAAAUCGAAUGUGUUUGAAUUAGAAAAUGCUUUAGAAUUUUUUUUCAACAAUCUCCGCUGCUUUGUUCUGCUUAAUUUUCCUGAAGUUUUCCCCUUCCCUAUCCACUCAUUUAAAAUCCGUCGUCUAAGUAUCUCUCAAUGAGUCCUCGUUUCAUUAGGGAGUAUAGCUAAUUCAUUCAAACAAGGUUUUCUAAGAUACACUGUUUACACAUAAGGAACUUUGUGUUUCAUUUGUGUUAGAGUAAAAUUCUAACAUCUUGGAAUCCCUACCUCUGUAAUAUCAGGUUUGACUCAAAUCAUUUAACGGUAUUAUUUUGUUUUGUUGAAAUUAAAAUGUCCAGACAUAAUGGCAAGAGCCGUCAAAAAAAGGUAUUUUCAGUAUAGAAUCUUGAAAAAGAUGGCGGCGAAGAGAGUCUUAGAAGGUUGUUUCUUUAUAAGACAACAAUGGCGCAGUUUCUCUAGAUCCCUGCGGGAGAGAACUGAGGUGCCCUGAACAAUUUAAGACACGUCCAACAGAACUUUUAUAGGACCGGACUCACCCAAAUAACAGGACUUCUUAACUUGGUUUUCGCUUCCAAACUCAACAGCUCCCAAUUACUUUGAAAAUGUUAACAAAUGUUUACUGGAAAAGAUUCUUAAGGAAUGACAUUAUAGCCUAACACAGUGUUUUAAAUCAACCUAUCGGGUUCCCUGUAAGGUGUUCUUUUCCUAGCCAAUAAAAAGAGCAGUUUGGGAAUUCUUAAUUUACAUACUUUUAAUCUAUUGGCUACUUUGGUUCAGGCAGAGUUUAGAUUUACAAGUUCGCGUUUGUGUAACAGUACAUUUCAGAAAGGGAUAGUGCGCAUGCGCGCCUGUUGCGAGGUCUAGUUUCUUUUUGUUUUUCUUUCCUAUUAGGUUUUCUUUCUUAUUGGAAAGCUGUUUUGUAAAGUGUUGUAGCAGGUCCGCAAUGACGCUGGCAUGUAGUCCAAGGAGACUGACAUCAUGAAUAUGCUGGAGCCCCCGUCCUCCAGGGAGGGGAGACGGCCAAACCAAAUUUCUCGCUGCCCGCAAAUGCCUGCGGAUGCCUGCAAGCUGGAGGGGGGGAGGAGACAAAGAAUGUUUUGUGCAUUCCUGUUCAUUCCUUGAAUUCUGUUAAACCUGCCCUAUUUUAGGGCAUUCAUCAAAAUUCUGCUAACCACAGAUUGAUACAAUUGCACCUUUCAAGUUAGUGUCUAUUUUGCAAAUUUGAAUUAUCUUAGGACUCAUGGGCAAGUCUUGACUGAAGUUACACGUUGUCACGCGUUUCAGUCUCACAUCUGAAAUAUAUGAGUCCCUUGCUUCUCUCCUUUUCAGAAAAAGAAACUUCUGUACACUUUAAAUCAUGGUAAAACGGUUAGAUAUGUUGGCAAAAUGGUUUUAUAAGAAGCAAGUAAAGAACUGAAAUCCUUUUGUACAAUAUGAUCACAUAUCUGUGGGCUGGGCUGUUUGUUAAUGAGAGCUAUGCCCUCUCUAUGCUUUUCCUCUCCACACUCCCUACAUGUCAUCUUCUGAGGUCCAAGGCCUGUUUAUUGAUAUUAUCUUCUGUUUUCUCAUUUUCAUUUUACUUUUUUCAUUUCUAUUAUGAGAAUGUUUAUAUCUACAACUAAAAAAUGUUUCCAAAAUCAAAAGAUACACUUUAGGUUAAAGGUUCAAAACACAGUCAGUGAGAACCAUUAAGGAAAUUCCAUCUUUAUGCCCCACAGUUUGAUUUCCUCCCCAGUGUUCUUAAAUCUGUGAAUCCGGUGUUUUGCCAUCUGAAGCUACCUUCAGUUCCUUUCAUAAUCCUCAUCUCUAAAUAUGUGUAAAGCUUUAUUUUAGAACUCAGUGCAAAGUUUACCUGAUUACAUAAGAACUUACCAGCUCACUUGUAUUAAUCAGUAAUUUCUAUCAUUAUCUCCAUACUUGAACACAAUUUCCCGUAGGAUCUGUGUUUUGUGAUAAAACAGUCAGAAACCAGUUGUGGCUACUGAGCAUUUGAAAUGUGGCUGUUGCUGCUGAGGACUGACUUUCUUUUAUUUGAGGAGUCUUGCUCUGUCACUCAGGAUGGAGUGCAGUGGCAUUAUUUCAGCACACUAUUACCUCCACCUCCUGAGUUUAAGCGAUUCUCCUGCCUCAGCCUCCAGAGUAGCUGGAAUUAGAGGUGCUGGUCACCACGCCCGGCUUAUGUAUUUGGGGGGCGGGCGGGGGGGAGGUAUUUUUAGUAGAAACGGGGUUUCACCAUUUUGGCUCAGCUGGUCUGGAUCUCCUGACCUUAAGUAACCCGUCCGCCUUGGCCUCCCAAAGUGCUGGGAUUACAGCCAUGAGUCACCGUGCCAGGCCUGAAUUUUUAUUGUACUUAUUUUUCGUUAUUUUAUUUCAAAAGCUGAUACUCCAGUUAUUGGAAAAUGUUAGAUAUGUUUUGAACAAUCACAUAUAUGAAUUUAAUUCUACAGCAUUGAAGUUUAUGAAAUCACAAUGAAAUUCCAUUUACUUCCAACAAACAUUUAAUACCAAAUUUAAUAGGAUGUCCCUCAUAUUUAGAAGACUUAAGAUUUAAAAAAGAAUGUGAAAUAUUGCAUUAAUAAUGUUUUUAUAUUGACUAUAUUUUGAAAUAAUGAUUUUGUAUUUUGGGUUAAAUAUAAUAAUUGUUAAAAUUCUUUUACCAGUUUAUUAAUUUUUAAAGUGUGCUUACUGGAAAAAUCAACAUUACAUAUGCAGCUUGUAUUAUUCUUUUUUAUUUUAUUCUUAUUUUUUGAGGCAGUGCCUCGCUCUGUCACCCAGGCUGUGGGAUUACAGGCACCAGCCACCACGCCCAGCUAAUUUUGGUAUUUUUAGUAGAGACGGGGUUUCACCAUUUUGGCCAGGUUGAUCUCGAACUUCUGACCUCAGGUGAUCUGCCUGCCUCGGCCUCCCAAAGUGCUGGCAUUACAAGCGUGAGCCACCGCAUCUGGCCGUGGCUUGUGUUAUUCUUUAUAAACAGCAUUGUUCCAGGAUUCUCCAUUUCUCUUCUCUGUUUCUUGAUUCUUUACCAAAUCUUGACAGCAAACGCCUUGAAACAAUGAGGAUAUUCAAUAUACUUCUAUGAACCCAGUUAUAGCAUCUGGACUUAAUCUACAAUAAGUAUCUAUAUCUACAUCUACAUGUCUAUACAGUUGUGUUAGGGAACUAAGGGGGCUUGUUAAACCAUUACUCAUUGAGGCAAGAAGAGGUGGGUAACUGGCAAAAUUAUUGAUGUUUGAAUUUUUCCAUGGCAAAAUAUCAGUAAGUGAACAGUAGUAGAAAUUCUUUUAGCCAGGCACAGUGGCUCAGGCCUAUAACGCCAGUGACCCAGGAGGCUGGGGUAGGAGGAUUGCUUGAAGCUAGGAAUUUGAGGCUCCAGUGUCAUAAUUGUGACACUGCACCCCAGUCUGGGCAACAGAGCAAGACCAAAAAAUGAAAAAAAAAAAAAAAA